RNAcentral lists this ribosomal RNA (253 nucleotides) under uncultured bacterium. RNAcentral's name for it is "partial 16S ribosomal RNA". It matches the Rfam family "Bacterial small subunit ribosomal RNA", at positions 524 to 776 of the family's 1533-position model. The record is from RNAcentral.
UACGUAGGGGGCGAGCGUUGUCCGGAAUUAUUGGGCGUAAAGGGCGAGUAGGCGGAUAUUUAAGUCUGGUGUGAAAGGUCAGGGCUCAACCCUGAAAGUGCAUCGGAAACUGGGUAUCUUGAGGACAGGAGAGGAAAGUGGAAUUCCACGUGUAGCGGUGAAAUGCGUAGAUAUGUGGAGGAACACCAGUGGCGAAGGCGACUUUCUGGACUGUCCCUGACGCUGAGGCGCGAAAGCGUGGGGAGCAAACAGG